GGCUGGAGUGGGGCAUACUCCUUUAACCGACAACUUUGGCUUAAAGAUUCACCUUGAGCCCUCCAAACCUUCUGAAUCCUGAGUAUGGUUUGGCAUUCUUGCUCCUCGGUCCUUCCUCCUGACUCUCCUUUCAUGGCAUCUGCAUAGAGUUGUUCUCUUCCACUGUUCUGUGUGCUUCCUCUUUUACAGGUUCUGGGCUUGUUAAAAUCCUGCAGCUGUGGAUGAGGGUGUCCCUUCCUCUCCUAUUUCUUUGUGUUUUUCCUGCCUGGAGUGUACUGGAUCUUCUGACAGGAGAACCUUGAAGCAAUCUUCUUGCUAGUCUUGGCCAAGAUUCAUAAGUCAUAAUGUCCUACCUUGCUCUGACCAAGAGAUCUGGAUAUCAAACUCUCAGCUACUUCUCUAGCAUCAUGUCUGCUUGCAUGCGGCCAUAUUCCCAGCCAUGAUGAACUGCAAGCCAGCCCCAGUUAAAUGCUUUCCUUCAUAAGAGUUGCUGUGGUGAUGGCGUCUCUUCAUAGCAAUAGAACACCGAUUACAAAAGCCAUCAGUUGUCAAUAAGCAAGGAGGUAGUCUGAAUUCACCGAAGAAUGAUGCAUGUCACCAAGAUAUCCUAGAGUGGGAAGAAGAAGUUGGCCAAGAAUCUAAGGAAGGAGGGAGCUUUGGUAUGAAGGUCAAAAGAAUCCUAGUAACAUGAUUGUCACACUGUGUGCAGAGGACUGGAAGGGUGGAUGUGGAUAUUGAAUGGUCAGGAGGAAUACACUGAACAAAUAAUUGGCUUUUACUUG
Molecule: long non-coding RNA, 782 nt
Organism: Mastomys coucha (southern multimammate mouse)
Lineage: Eukaryota; Metazoa; Chordata; Mammalia; Rodentia; Muridae
Exons: 3
Source: RefSeq, a predicted model, not a curated record